UUCUAGAGCUAAUACACGCAAUUAAUCCUCAACCUUACGGGCGAGGAGCAUUUAUUAGAACAAAACCAAUCGGCUUUGGCCGUCUUUGGUGAAUCUGAAUAACUACGCUGAUCGCAUGGUCUCGUACCGGCGACAUAUCCUUCAAGUGUCUGCCUUAUCAACUGUCGAUGGUAGUUUACACGCCUACCAUGGUUGUAACGGGUAACGGAGAAUAAGGGUUCGACUCCGGAGAGGGAGCCUGAGAAACGGCUACCACAUCCAAGGAAGGCAGCAGGCGCGCAAAUUACCCACUCUCAGAACGAGGAGGUAGUGACGAAAAAUAACAAGACAGUUCUCUAUGAGGUCUGUCAUUGGAAUGGGUACAAUUUAAACCCUUUAACGAGGAUCUAUUGGAGGGCAAGUCUGGUGCCAGCAGCCGCGGUAAUUCCAGCUCCAAUAGCGUAUAUUAAAGUUGUUGCGGUUAAAAAGCUCGUAGUUGGAUCUGCGGUCGUAGACUCUGGUUCCCUUCUAGGGAUACUAGGUGUCUCGACCUACCUUGUUAGAUGUCCCUUGGUGCUCUUUACUGAGUGCCUUGGGUGUCUAGCUCGUUUACUUUGAAAAAAUUAGAGUGCUUAACGCAGGCAUUAGCCUGAAUAGUGGUGCAUGGAAUAAUGGAAUAGGACCUCGGUUCUAUUUUGUUGGUUUUCGGAGCAUGAGGUAAUGAUUAAGAGGGACAGACGGGGGCAUUCGUA
Molecule: ribosomal RNA, 731 nt
Filed under: Ptycholaimellus brevisetosus
Lineage: Eukaryota; Metazoa; Nematoda; Chromadorea; Chromadorida; Chromadoridae
Description: SSU rRNA
Rfam family: Eukaryotic small subunit ribosomal RNA
Source: RNAcentral